Molecule: ribosomal RNA, 491 nt
Filed under: uncultured bacterium
Lineage: Bacteria
Description: bacterial SSU rRNA
Rfam family: Bacterial small subunit ribosomal RNA
Source: RNAcentral
GAUGAACGCUAGCUACAGGCUUAACACAUGCAAGUCGAGGGGCAGCACAGAGAUAGCUUGCUAUCUUGGGUGGCGACCGGCGCACGGGUGAGUAACGCGUAUCCAACCUGCCCAUUACUCUGGGAUAGCCUUGCGAAAGUAAGAUUAAUACCGGAUGUUGUUAAAAACCCGCAUGAGUUUUUAACCAAAGAUUUAUUGGUAAUGGAUGGGGAUGCGUGACAUUAGGUAGUAGGUGAGGUAACGGCUCACCUAGCCGACGAUGUCUAGGGGUUCUGAGAGGAAGGUCCCCCANACUGGAACUGAGACACGGUCCAGACUCCUACGGGAGGCAGCAGUGAGGAAUAUUGGUCAAUGGACGAGAGUCUGAACCAGCCAAGUAGCGUGCAGGAUGACGGCCCUCUGGGUUGUAAACUGCUUUUAGUUGGGAAUAAAAAGAGGGACGUGUCCCUAAUUGUAUGUACCAUCAGAAAAAGGACCGGCUAAAUUCCGUG